Molecule: long non-coding RNA, 1967 nt
Organism: Mercenaria mercenaria
Lineage: Eukaryota; Metazoa; Mollusca; Bivalvia; Venerida; Veneridae
Exons: 2
Source: RefSeq, a predicted model, not a curated record
UGUCGUCGCAUUGAUGCGAUCAAGCUAAUCACACAGUAAUGUGAAUGUUAUGCGACUCCUGGAUAAUUGCUUCGGUUGGUUUCACGAGUUGCACGUGGCUCGUAUAAAUAUGGCAUACCUGAAGCAGAACGGCGUCAACAUUCUUGAUUGGCCUGCAUGGGUGAAAGUUUUCCGUAUUAUGACGGAAUUCCGUAUUUUGGACCUUCCCAAAGGUCAUUUUUCCAAAUCGUGUAAAUCCGAUGAGAUUUUCGAGGGGUGGGGGGAGGUAACGUCCUGUCCGGUCAUCUAUCAAUGGCAAAAUAAUAACAUUAUGCUAAAAUGCUAAAAAUAGCGCUGAUUGCAACAAUUUGAUCGUCCUUUUCCGUUAGCAAUACCGUAUGUAACAUUAUUCGAUAGCCGAAGAUAACCGAACGCUGGCAAUUAUUCAUCCAAAAAUAGACUGUAGAUCGGUUAUUUCCGCGGGUAAGGCUGAAGAUGCUAUUCGAAGUUUCCUUGUGUAACCGUUUGUAACCGAUGGUUAACGAAUCAUUUCUGCACGCGUGAUACUUUAUGACCUCCUUUUACGACAACCAACAACCUGUUCCUUACUGCAAAUUUCGAAUGUCUACAAUAAUUGAAGAAAUAAACCGAUCUGACCAUUAUGAAGUUUCUACCAACAGGUAGUUCAGGAGUUUGAGCAACAAGCCAAGAACAAAAUUUAACGGCGAUGGCAGUUGUCCGAGUUAGAUUCUGAGGCGCUGAAAUGGUCUGAUAGAUAUUUGCUGUGUUGCAUAUUGCACUUUCUAUGAAAACGAUUAAUUACAAAUCCAAUGGAAAGAAAAGCCUCAAACUUCACCACGAGGACGCCAAACACCAGAAAAAACACUGAGUUGUGAAAACGGGGAAUAUUCAAUGAGGUUCUUCUAAGGUUACUAAGAACACUGAAUCUAUGCAAGACAGAGUGGCUAAACAGCACGCCAUAACCAUAGCCUUCCAAAGUUGACACUGCCAUUUACAUUUAUAUAUAGCAGAGCUGCUGAAAUUCACAGAAGGGUUAGAUGAGGAUAAACCUCGGUUAGAUGAGGAUAAACCUGCUCUUGACAAGACCACAACUCGGUUAGAUGAGGAUAAACCUGCUCUUGACAAGACCACAACUAUGUAAACACACAUAGCAUUGCCAAAAGUUAGAAGGAUGAUCUAAAGAAAAAACUUAAAGGACAGAUCUUAUCACUGAAUUCCAGUGAGGCAACAAACAAUAACAAUGAUUAGAUUUUGAAUGUAAUUGCAUUGUAUAUUGUGAAAUAAUGUGGAAAUAAUAAAAUGACAAAUUAAUUUUUGAAGAAUAAGGUCUUGAAUUUAUGUUUGUAGAAGACUCCAAAACUUAAAUGCAGAGGACUCUACUUUUCAGGAAAAGCUUUGUACAGUACUUGGUAAUUGCAUUAUUUCAGGAGCUUCCGGGGGCCUCCGGCCCCCUGGACCCCUGGCCAGGGCUUUGCCCUGGACCCACCGGGGGCCCUAUCGGCCCCCUGGCCCCCAGAUAUUUGUUUCAGUAUUUUCAGUUUUUCCAACUUUCACCCAUGGGCCUGCGUUAUCUUCCAACAUGUCGCCAAUUGAGCACCUGUGGGACGCGCCCGACAAGGCGAUCCGCCAGCGUCAUAGCAUGCAGCCUGGAAACCUACAAGAACUAACCAAUGCGAUUAUCCAGGAGUGGCGUAACAUUCCAUUUAACUUUGUGCGUCGUUUGAUCGCAUCAAUGCGAAGAAGAUGUUUAUCUGUGGUGAAUGCUGCUGGUGGCCACACCCGCUAUUGACUGAUCCUGCGAACUUUAAAAAUGCACCAUUCAAUCAAUUAAUGCAUUUUAUUGUUAUCUACUGUGUUUUUUGUUAAGUUUUUGUUUUUCAUUCUGUUACAGGAUAGUUAUGUGUUACUCAUGUCAAAUUUCAUUGUAUUUGGUUUAAUAUUAAAUAAAAUAUCGACACUUAUGUACA